Molecule: transfer RNA, 185 nt
Filed under: Gagea villosa
Lineage: Eukaryota; Viridiplantae; Streptophyta; Magnoliopsida; Liliales; Liliaceae
Description: partial transfer RNA-Leu
Source: RNAcentral
UACUUACUAACUACUUUUUAUCUUUUCCUUUUUUUUUUUUUUUUAUCUAAAAAUUAAGGGGCUGGGUAAGAUUUUUGAAUAAUUUCUUACUUUUUAUUUUUUAGUCCCCUUUUUUUAUGGACUUUUACUUUUAAUUGAUUCACUUAAUAUAGAUAAAGUGCUCUACUAAGAUAAUGUGGGGAAAA